AAAACAGAGGCGAUUCAUGAAUCUCAAACCAUAUGAUAAAAUAACUCUCAGCAUGGGAAGAUUUAUCCUGGGAAACAAGACAGCAAGGACCGUGACAUUUUUUUACACAAUACUGCUACAUACAUUGAUUUUCUUGGUACUGUAUAAGCUAGCCCAUACAGAAUCUUGAAAGCGAGACAUGGCUGCUGAUUGGC
Molecule: long non-coding RNA, 194 nt
Organism: Mytilus californianus (California mussel)
Lineage: Eukaryota; Metazoa; Mollusca; Bivalvia; Mytilida; Mytilidae
Exons: 3
Source: RefSeq, a predicted model, not a curated record